CAAAUUUUCAAACAUUUAUUAGAGAAAGAAAAGAAGCAGUUGCUGCUCAAUUAAAAGCCGCGGGGUGGAAACCAGAUACGGAGAAAAAUUUUGCUUCUGUUCUUCGUCCUUUGUCAACUUUGUUUUGCUUUUUUGUUUUUCUUUUCCUU
Molecule: non-coding RNA, 149 nt
Filed under: Tiarina fusus
Lineage: Eukaryota; Ciliophora; Prostomatea; Prorodontida; Colepidae
Source: RNAcentral